GACGAACGCUGGUGGCGUGCUUAACACAUGCAAGUCGAACGAUGAAGCCUUCGGGUGGAUUAGUGGCGAACGGGUGAGUAACGCGUGGGCAAUCUGCCCUGUACUUUGGGAUAAGCCUUGGAAACGGGGUCGUAAUACCGGAUAUCACUUCUGACCGCAUGGUUGGUUGUUGAAAGUUCUGGCGGUACAGGAUGAGCCCGCGGCCUAUCAGCUUGUUGGUGGGGUAAUGGCCUACCAAGGCGACGACGGGUAGCCGGCCUGAGAGGGUGACCGGCCACACUGGGACUGAGACACGGCCCAGACUCCUACGGGAGGCAGCAGUGGGGAAUAUUGCACAAUGGGCGAAAGCCUGAUGCAGCGACGCCGCGUGAGGGAUGACGGCCU
This 384-nucleotide ribosomal RNA is filed under the name uncultured bacterium. RNAcentral describes it as "bacterial SSU rRNA". It matches the Rfam family "Bacterial small subunit ribosomal RNA", at positions 28 to 417 of the family's 1533-position model. The record is from RNAcentral.